AAAGCGUGCGCAGGCGGUUUUGUAAGUCUGUCGUGAAAGCCCCGGGCUCAACCUGGGAAUUGCGAUGGAGACUGCAAGGCUUGAAUCUGGCAGAGGGGGGUAGAAUUCCACGUGUAGCAGUGAAAUGCGUAGAGAUGUGGAGGAACACCGAUGGCGAAGGCAGCCCCCUGGGUCAAGAUUGACGCUCAUGCACGAAAGCGUGGGGAGCAAACAGGAUUAGAUACCCGAGU
Molecule: ribosomal RNA, 230 nt
Filed under: uncultured bacterium
Lineage: Bacteria
Description: partial 16S ribosomal RNA
Rfam family: Bacterial small subunit ribosomal RNA
Source: RNAcentral